This 443-nucleotide long non-coding RNA is filed under the name Homo sapiens (human). Its description in RNAcentral is "non-protein coding lnc-RHOB-20:2". Lineage: Eukaryota; Metazoa; Chordata; Mammalia; Primates; Hominidae. The record is from RNAcentral.
AACACUGAUUUGCCUUCCUGACCUGAGCAGUCAUAGUGUCUGUGUGUGUGUGUGUGUGUAUGCAUGUGUGUGCACACACAUUUGCGCACAGGCUCUGGAGAGACAUGGGGAGAGGAAAAGAACUUGUAUCAAGUCAUCUUUUUAUUUAUUGAAAGCCUGGCUCUGUGAGGGGACAAGCUUCAGGUGAGCCAGAGAGAAAUCAGGAAAAGCAUGCCCCCUGCCCUCCUGGAGUUUGUAGUUCAGCCCCCCAACCCUCCCUGACCAGCAAAUGCAAUGGGCAUUUGGCAAGCUUGUCAACAUGUCAUCACCUGCUGAUGUGGUGCAGUAGCCUUUGACAAGUGCACGUGUUACUGUCCAGUCACAGCCAGUCAUUAAAGUGAAAAGUCAACACAAACUACUGCUUUCAAAGAAAGCAGUCUCACUCUGCCGUCUGGGACCAGGGC